Molecule: ribosomal RNA, 814 nt
Filed under: uncultured bacterium
Lineage: Bacteria
Description: bacterial SSU rRNA
Rfam family: Bacterial small subunit ribosomal RNA
Source: RNAcentral
AGAGUUUGAUCCUGGCUCAGGAUGAACUUUAGCUACAGGCUUAACACAUGCAAGUCGAGGGGCAGCGCAGUGCAGCAAUGCAUGGGCGGCGACCGGCGCACCGGGGUGCGUAACGCGUAUCCAACCUUCCCGUUACUCUUGGAUAGCCUUCCGAAAGGGAGAUUAAUACAGGAUGGUAUUCAAAUUCCGCAUGUUAUUUGAAUUAAAGAUUUAUCGGUAACGGAUGGGGAUGCGUGACAUUAGAUAGUAGGCGGGGUAACGGCCCACCUAGUCUACGAUGUCUAGGGGUUCUGAGAGGAAGGUCCCCCACACUGGAACUGAGACACGGUCCAGACUCCUACGGGAGGCAGCAGUGAGGAAUAUUGGUCAAUGGUCGGAAGACUGAACCAGCCAAGUAGCGUGAAGGAUGAAGGUUCUAUGGAUUGUAAACUUCUUUUAUACGGGAAUAAAGCCCGCUACGUGUAGCGGUUUGUAUGUACCGUAUGAAUAAGCAUCGGCUAACUCCGUGCCAGCAGCCGCGGUAAUACGGAGGAUGCGAGCGUUAUCCGGAUUUAUUGGGUUUAAAGGGAGCGUAGACGGGGGAUUAAGUCAGUUGUGAAAGGCUGCGGCUCAACCGCAGCACUGCAGUUGAUACUGGUUUCCUUGAGUGCGGUUGAGGUGUAUGGAAUUCGUGGUGUAGCGGUGAAAUGCUUAGAUAUCACGAAGAACUCCGAUUGCGAAGGCAGUACACUAAGCCGUAACUGACGUUGAUGCUCGAAAGUGUGGGUAUCAAACAGGAUUAGAUACCCUGGUAGUCCACACGGUAAACGAUGAA